This 309-nucleotide ribosomal RNA is filed under the name uncultured eukaryote. Its description in RNAcentral is "SSU rRNA". It matches the Rfam family "Eukaryotic small subunit ribosomal RNA", at positions 587 to 972 of the family's 1831-position model. The record is from RNAcentral.
AGCUCUCAGAAUGCAUGGAAGUGUUGCUGCGGUUAAAAGGCUCGUAGUCGGAUUGGGCGGGCGUCGGUCGCGGUGGCGAGCGGCGCCCCAGCACCUUGAAGAAAUCGGAGUGCUCAAGACAGGCGGGUACGCCUGGACGAUGGCGCAUGGAAUGGCAGAAGAGGGUCUCGGUCCGGUUCUGCGGGUUGGAGGGCAGAGACAAUGAUAAAUAGAGGCAGACGGGGGCAUCGGUACUUCUGCGUGAGAGGUGAAAUUCGAGGACCGCAGGAAGACGGGCGACAGCGAAGGCAGUUGCCAAGCCUGUGUUCA